AUAGAUAUUGUGAUAUCCCAAAAUAUCCGUGUUCCGACCAGGAACAAACUUUAUCUUCACCUGCAACUAGCAACGCUAUAAGAGGGGCUGAGCAAAGCGGUAACAUAGCCAAACAACGGUUUGCUAGGACAUGGAUGGUUAGAGGUUGACAUGGCAAUAUGGGUGGCAUGAUAUAGCAAGUGGUAGGUAUCGCAGCAUAGGCGUAGCAAAAGAGCGAGCAUCUAGCAAGCAAAGAUAGAAGUGAUAUCGAAGGUAUGGUCAUCUUGCCUGCAAGGUUCUUAGAGUUGUCGAAGGCUUGAUCCUCGUAGGCGUUCUCAACAGGUUCCUCGUACACGUACUCGUCUCCCGGCUCUACCCAAAGCAAGAAGACAAGCAACGGAACCACAAUCAAACAAGGAACAAUGCACAAGCAAUAUGAUGCAAAACAUGACAUGCUAUGCGAGAAGUGAUAUGCAAUGCAUAUGUGUGCUCCGGGAGGAGAAUGAUGAACCGGGCAUCAACUUGGCAAACCAAGUAUGCCGCUGGAAAGAUGGGAUGAUUUCGGUUGAAAUCGAUAUAAAGAUCACCGGAAUAGGAUGCACGGUUUGCAAAUGGCAAGCAAAACAAUAAUGACACAAAUCUGCGUUUAACAGCACGAUGCUACUUAGCAUGCAACAAGAAACUAUGCUACAGCACCCCAACAUAAAAACAAAGCAUAUGGCAAUGAUCUACAGGAGAUGCUUAACAAAAGAGGAACACUGAGCCAUGGCUAAAUCACAUCAUAACAGGUUCAAACAAGCAUGGUGAAAGUGCAAAAAAAAUAUCAGGUUCACAGACUUAGUGAAAAUACUAGUAUGCCAGAAAUUAACAUCAGGAAGGCAUGUUUAGAGCAAGCAAACGACAUGCUACAGGAACUUAUAAUAGCAAAACAAGGCAUGACAUGAUUCUACUCAAAGCAUAGAUCAAUAGUCCCUUACUGACCAUAAGCUAAAAAGGACUAGAGGAUAUGAUGGCACCCAUGUAAACAUAGCAAGUUUUAUUACAGAUCUCAGACUUAGCAGAAAAACUGGACAUGGCAAAAACAGAUUCAACAUGGCAUCUUCGUGAGCUCGAUGCACUCACUACAGAGCAUCUCAAGAUAAACUAAGCAUACACCCAUCAAGAAGACAUGGCAUAGAAGCUAUACAUGGCAAGAACAACAUCAUAGCAUACACGGAUCAACUACAACGACCUCGUGAAAAUUGAAUCUCAUGCGAACAAUCUGCCAGGAAACAUUUUCAAGCAAAAGUAGAGCACGAAAAUGACAUGCUAGACUACUCCAUAAAUGCCAACAAAGGCAUGGAUGGAUAGAGCAUCCAUAUGUUCAAAACACCCUUACUGAUCAUGCUCAAAAAGGGCAUAGAUCUCUCUGUAACAACAUGAACAUAUGGCAUAAAAAUAACAGCAGGACAAGACUUAGUGAAAACACUAAGUUCCUGAAAUCAGCAACAUUAUCAUCCCUAGUUUGCAUGCUUGUUCUAGUCACCACAUAACUCACAAAAAUACAUGGCAUACACCCCUGGAAAGAUGGCAUGGCAUAGUUCAACACACAUGUAGGACUCAAGUUCAUAAGGUGCACACAUAAAUCAUGGCAAAAAUGACAAAAGAGCUCGUGCUGAUAAGAUUCUGGAACUAACGAUCUGAAGCCCUCUUCCAACAGCAUUUCGGGCAUCAAGAUGAGCUCAAAUGCAAAUGAUGCAAUGGAAUGAAAUGAUGUACUCUUCGAGUCGAACAAUUUGACAUAUUAUACGCACGAAACGGAGUUACGGGUGCGAAGAUGUGAUGCGGUGAACAUGUGAUGAUUUUAUCACAGGAAAAUGACUUAGAGAAAAACGAGGGGGAGAGAGAAAAGUCAACCGCAGCGGUGCCCGAUCGGAUCUGGCCGGAGUCGCUGCUCGAGGUCGCCGGAGUCGACGGCGGCCGGAGCGCUGGAGGCGGGGGGAGGUGCGGCCGGGCUGGAGAGGAAGGAGAGGCCGGAGGGGACCGGCGGCGGAGGGCGAGGCUGGGCAUGGCUGGGCGGCGCGGGGCGCAACGGCGGCCAGAACGGCGGCGGGGCGGAGCCGCNNNNNNNNNNNNNNNNNNNNNNNNNNNNNNNNNNNNNNNNNNNNNNNNNNNNNNNNNNNNNNNNNNNNNNNNNNNNNNNNNNNNNNNNNNNNNNNNNNNNNNNNNNNNNNNNNNNNNNNNNNNNNNNNNNNNNNNNNNNNNNNNNNNNNNNNNNNNNNNNNNNNNNNNNNNNNNNNNNNNNNNNNNNNNNNNNNNNNNNNNNNNNNNNNNNNNNNNNNNNNNNNNNNNNNNNNNNNNNNNNNNNNNNNNNNNNNNNNNNNNNNNNNNNNNNNNNNNNNNNNNGGGCCUGGCGCGGCCGGCGGCGGUGGGCGGCGGCGGAGCCCAUGUGGCGCGGCCCGAUUGGCUGCGGGCGGCGGCGGACGUGUCCGGCGAGGGCGGACGAUGUCCGGCGCGCGGAGAGGACGAAUUUCUAGGGUUUCAUCCGGAUUUUCGGGGGAGGGGUCUUUAAAUAGGCAUAGAGGGAGUUAGGAGAGUCCAAAUGGGGUGCGGUUUUCGCCCACAGGAUCGUGAUCGAAUGACCGAGAGCAUGGAAGGGAGUUAGAUGUGUUAUUGGGCUGAUUUGGAGGGGUGUUGGGCUGCAACUUAAAAGAGGCCUUUGCGAGAGUGCGGUUAACCGUUGGAGUACCAAACGAGCUCCAAAUGACCCGAAACUUGACAGGUGGUCUACCGGUGCUAUACCAGGGCCACUUGGCAAGGCUCGGUCCAUUCCGAGAAUGUUCAACACCCGCACACGGAAAAAUGUAAAAGGGGACGCCGGGGAACAUAGGAGUGCCGGAUUGCAAAACGGACAACGGGGAAAAAGCUCGGAAUCAUGAGACGAACACAUAUGCAAAUGAGAUGCACAUGAUGACAUGAUAUGAGAUGCAUGACAUGGACAAAAUGCAAAACGACAACAAAACCCAACCACGGAGGGAAUAUCAUAGCACAUAUCCGAAAAUGGCAAGAGUUGGAGUUACAAAUAUGGAAAGAUACAUCUGGGGUGUUACAACACUCCACCACUACAAGAGGAUCUCGUCCCGAGAUCUAGGACUGAAAGAACUCCGGAUAUUCGGAACGGAGGUGAUCCUCGCGUUCCCAGGUGGCUUCUCGGUCGGAAUGGUGUGACCACUUUACUUUCAGGAAUUUGAUUGACUUGUUGCGAGUCUUGCGCUCGGUUUCUUCAAGAAUAGCAACGGGGUGCUCAUGAUAAGAGAGAUCUUCUUGGAGGUCAAUUUCUUCAAAGUUGAUAGUGCGUUCAGGAAUCUUGAAGCACUUGCGGAGCUGUGACACGUGAAACACAUCGUGCACGUUUGCAAAGUUGGAUGGAAGCUCAAGUUGAAAGGCGAGAUCGCGUCUUUUGCCAAUGAUCUUGAAAGGACCCACGUAUCUAGGGGCAAGCUUCCCUUUGAUACCGAAACGACGAGUGCCUUUCAUUGGAGAGACGCGGAGGUAGACAUGGUCUCCGAUUUCAAAAGCCACAUCACGGUGCUUGUCAUCAUAAUAGCCCUUCUGGCGCGAUUGCGCGGCUUUAAGAUUCUCACGAAUGACUUUGCACAUUUCUUCGGCUUCUGUGAUCAAGUCGUUGCCAAGAAGUUGGCGUUCACCUGUCUCGGACCAAUUGAGAGGAGUACGGCACUUUCUGCCAUAGAGAAUUUCGAAUGGGGCCUUGCCCGAACUCGCUUGGAAGCUGUUGUUGUAGGAGAACUCGGCAUAUGGAAGACACUGUUCCCACUUCAUGCCAAAGGAAAUGACACAAGCCCUGAGCAUAUCUUCAAGGAUUUGAUUGACUCGCUCGACUUGGCCACUUGUUUGAGGAUGGAAAGCUGUGCUGAAACGAAUGUUGGUGCCCAUGGCCUUCUGAAAGGAGUCCCAGAACUUAGAAGUGAAGAUGCUUCCACAGUCUGAAGAGAUCAAUUGUGGAAUACCAUGCAAGGAGACAAUUCUGGAGGUGUAUAGCUCUGCCAGCUGAGCUGCUGUGAUAGAUUCUUUGACAGGAAGAAAAUGAGCCACUUUAGUGAGCUUGUCAAUGACAACGAAGGUAGCAUCAUUUCCACGCUUGGACUUAGGAAAACCAGUCACGAAGUCCAUCUCGAUAUGAUCAAACUUCCAUUCCGGAAUAGCAAGAGGUUGGAGGAGACCAGCUGGUCUUUGGUGUUCUGCUUUCACCCUUCUGCAGACAUCACAUUCAUUCACGAAUUGAGCAAUUUCUCGCUUCAUUCGAGUCCACCAAAACGACUGCUUGAGGUCAUGGUACAUCUUCGUACUUCCAGGAUGAAUGGAUAGAAGAGAAUUGUGUGCCUCAUUCAUGAUGACUUUUCUCAGAUCGCCUUUAGGAACCACAAUACGGUCCUCAAAGAAAAGAGUAUCUUUGUCAUCCAAGCGAUAGCACUUGUAUUUGGAAAUGCCCUUGUCAAUACCACGUUUCACCUUCUUCACCAUGGUAUCCAGGAGUUGUGCCUCAUGAAUUUGAUCUUCCAAAGUAGGGGAGACUAUGAGGUUGGCAAGAAAGCCUUGAGGAACAACUUGAAGAUUCAGCUUGCGGAAAGCUUCACAAAGAUCCGGUUGGAAGGGCUUGAGAAUUAAGCUGUUGCAAUAAGCCUUUCUGCUCAGAGCAUCUGCAAUCACAUUCACCUUGCCAGGAGUAUAUUCAAUACUUGGAUUGUACUCUUGAAUCAUUUCGACCCAUCGAGUUUGCCUGAGGUUGAGGUUUGGUUGAGUGAAGAUAUACUUGAGACUCUUGUGAUCGGUGAAAAUGUCCACUUUCCUUCCCAACAAGAGAUGUCUCCAUGUUAUCAAUGCAUGGACAACUGCCGCCAACUCAAGAUCAUGAGUGGGGUAGUUCUUUUCGUUGGGCUUCAACUGACGAGAGGUAUAGGCCACAACCUUCUUCUCUUGCAUUAACACAGCACCGAGACCUUGCAAGGAAGCAUCACAGAAAACUUCGAAUGGCUUGGAUUCAUCAGGAGGAGUCAAGACAGGAGCUGUGACUAGCUUCUCUUUGAGGGUGUUGAAAGCGACAUCACACUCAGGCGUCCAGACAUACUUGACAUGCUUCUGGAGGAGGUUGGGAAGGGGCUUUGCAAUCUUGGAGAAGUUCUCAACGAAUCUUCGACAAUAGCUUGCAAGACCGAGAAAACUGCGGAGCUGCUUGACAUUCUAAGGAGGUUCCCAAUCCAAAACCGCAGAAACCUUCGCCGGAUUAACAGCAAUUCCCUUGGCGGAGAUGAUAUGACCAAGAUAAAGAACUUCAUCAAGCCAGAACUCACAUUUGGAAAACUUCGCAUAGAAUUGAUGCUCUCUGAGCUUGUCGAGCACCAAUCGCAAAUGUUUGGCAUGAUCCUGCUUGUUCUUGGAGAAGACCAAAAUAUCAUCGAGAUACACCAAGACGAAAUCAUUGGUGUAGGGGUUGAAGAUAAAGUUCAUCAUGCGAGAGAAAGUUAGAGGAGCAUUGACAAGGCCGAAAGACAUGACAGUAUAUUCAUAAGAACCAAAGCUUGUUCUGAAUGCUGUCUUGGGAAUAUCUUGUUCACGAAUGCGAAUCUGAUGAUAACCCAUACGAAGGUCAAGCUUGGAGAAUACUUUGGCACCUUUGAGUUGCUCGAAAAGCUCAUUGAUGUUGGGAAGUGGAUACUUGUUCUUGAUUGUCUUCUUGUUCAAUGGACGGUAAUCAACACAAAGUCGGUCCAUGCCAUCCUUCUUCUGGACAAAAAGAACUCCACAUCCCCAUGGAGAUGAACUCGGUCUGAUCAAGCCCAGACGCUCUUGUUCAUCGAGCUGCUUCUUCAAUUCUUUCAGCUCCUUGGGUCCAAGCUUGUAAGGACGCUUGCAAACAGGUUCAGUGCCAGGCUCAAGAUCGAUAACAAAUUCGACUGGCCGAUGAGGAGGCAUACCCGGAAGCUCUUCUGGAAAGACAUCUUGGCACUCACAAACGACUGGAAUUUGCGAGAUAGCAUCCAAUUCGCCCUUCUCAUUGAGAGAAAACAACCGAAUGGUUUCAUCACGAGCGGCAUAGAUGAUAAUAUCCUCAGAAGAGUGUGUCAAUUGAAUCUGCCUGGCAGCACAAUCAAGUUGAGCCUUGUGCUGAGAAAGCCAGUCCAUCCCAAGAAUUAGAUCAAUAUCAGAGUCGCCAAGAACCAUUGGAGAAGAUAGAAAUCUAUAGUCGCCCAUCUUGAUAGAAACAUCCGGAGCCAUCAUCUUGGUGUUCAUGAAUAAACCCGGAGAGGAAACCGCUAUCGGCUUAGGCAGAUCAACAGUAUGCAAAUCGUGCAUGGAUGCAAAAGGCUUUGAUAUGAAUGAAAUAGAAGCACCCGUAUCAAAUAAAACUUUUGCAGGAAUAUCAUUAACUGGAAGAUUACCCAUAAUCACAUCAGUAGAUUCCUCUGCUUGCGCUGCAUUCAUCAUGUUCACCUUUGCAGAUUUGGGAUUAUGCUUGACCACUGCAUUGCUUGAAGACCUCACAGGAGGAGGAGGAGGAAGGCGCCUUUGGUUUAAGCAUUUGUUCGCAUAGUGACCCUUCUGCUGGCACUUGUUGCAGGUCACCUCUGAGAGCGGACGGUGAUAAGGAGCAUUUGACCUUGGAGCUUGAGGCUGAGACUUGUUCUGGUAGCUUGGGUUGGGUGGGUGGGACGAUCCACGACCACCUGAGUUCUUCUGCUGAUAAGGCUGACGGAAUGGAGGAGGAGGAAGGUAGAACUUUUGCUGCUUAGCUGCGCCUUGAGAGGAAGAAGAAGACUGAGCUGCAUCCCUGAUUCUUUUCUUAGAAGCCUCACACUUGAGCUGAGCACCUUCUUGCUUGAGUGCCAUAUUGUAGAAUUGAUCAAACUAAGUAGGCUCAACAAGAACGAGAGCUAACUGCAGAUCCUCUCUAAGGCCACCUCUGAACUGAUAGAUCAUACUCUUUUCGUCAGGAACGUCUUGUUUAGCGAAGCGAGCAAGUUUCUGAAACUGUAUGUUGUAUUCGUACACUGACAUGUUUCCUUGCUUGAGAUUGCGGAACUCCUCACGCUUGCUCUCAACAACACUGGUAGGAAUGCGGUGAGCUUUAAAGUCCCGACAGAAAUCAGUCCAAGUAAUCACUCGACCACCUCUGGAAUCCUUGUAUUGCUGGAACCAAUCAGCUGCCUGAUCCUUGAGCUGAAAAGACGAGAACUUGACGUAGUCCUCAGGUCUGACAUUGCUGCAUUCGAAAUGCUUGUUCAUAUCCACGAGCCAAUCGUCGACGUCUGUGGCCUCGGCACAGUAGCUGAAAGACUUUGGCUGAUUUGCAAGGAAUUGGUUGAGUGUAGGAAACUGAGGCUGAUGGUAGAACUGCCCUUGACCUUGAUUCCCUUGGUUGCCUUGGCCUUGGUUACGCUCUCGCAUCAGCUGAAUCAACAACUGAGCGUUGGCGUUAGUGGUUGCCAUCAAAGUUUGCCAUGCCUCCGGAGGCGGAGGUGAAGGUGGAGGGUUCGCCUGACUCCCAUCACUGCGUUCCGGAUUCUGACGCGUAGGCGGAGCCAUCCUGAAGAGGGUGACAUCCGUUAGCAUCUUGAUAGACAGAUAGACAAGUUGAAUCAACAGAUAGAAAUUGCAACAUAUAGUCUUCACAAUAAACAUUCAAAACAGGGAUGAACGAAUGAAUUCCAAAGUAAACAUCACGUCCAUUAAGGUGAGAAGCCACUUGAUAAGAGAUUGAUGAAUGAAAAUAAAAACAAGGUAUGAAUGGAACAAAUAAGUGGUAAGGAUUACCCAAUCACAAACCAAAUAUCUGCGGAAGAAAUGCUAGAGCUACUUGAAUCCCACCUAUAAACUCCCGAAACUUUCCGGUUAUGCAAUCAGGUGUUGGGGAUACAGGGGAAGCAAUAUAUCUCACCCAAACUAACAAUCCCUACAUCCAGCUGUAUCCAUCCUUCAACACAUAACCAAGAAACCUUCGGAAAUCGUGUACCUCAACCUUCGAAAAUCAUCCGUUAUACGAGUCAUGGCAAUACUCCCGUACUCACCUCAGUACUGGGUUAGCGGGGUUAUCUCACCAACGAACUGCAUAAAAGAGAUUUUCGAUGUCGGCGUACUAAACUCAGGUAUUCCAGAACUGCAACGAUAAAAUUAUGACGACAACACCUCAGAGCUCAACUCCCCGGGACACUUCCACUAAACCCCUGACAGGAGGCACCAAGACAAUGUUCUCAUCAUAAAACCAUCGGAACGAUUCCAAGAUACCCGCGUGAUCCUAAAUUUUUUUUAGUGAAAUUUGAGGAGAGGAAAGUCAAAACUUCUGCGUCAGGAUGCCUCACCAGAGCGACGAAGGGACUGAGGAGUAAAAAGAAUUCCUAACUCUCCGAUAUAUAUAAUCUUAAAUGACUCAAAACAUUUUUCUAGACACAACUCGGCCGCUAAAAACGAUCAAGCAGUGGGGGCUCCUAAGGUCGGGGAUGGCUCUGAUUACCAACUUGUAACGCCCUCGAUGCGGCUAUAUCUCCCACGUGUCGAAGCACGACUUAGAGGCAUAACCGCAUUGAAAGCAAUGUCGCACGUGAGGUAAUCUUCGCACAAUCCAUGUAAUACAUAAGGGAAAAGAUACAUAGUCGGCUUACAGUCGCCACUUCACACAAUACAUAAAUAAACAUCCAUCAUUCAGUUUACAAUCAAGGUCCGACUACGGAACCAAAAUAAAAGAAGACUACCCCAAAUGCAACACAGAUCCCCGAUCGCCCCAACUGGGCUCCACUACUGAUCGUCUGGAAAUGAAACAUAGUAAUGACCAAGGGCCUCAUCAAAUUCCCACUUCAGCUCAGUUGCGCCCUCUGCGCUGGUAUCAUCGGUACCUGCAUCUGUUUUGGUAGAAUUUGUGAGCCACGGGGACUCAGCAAUCUCACACCCGCGAGAUCAAGACUAUUUAAGCUUAAGGGAAGGCUGGUGUAAUGAGGUGGAGCUGCAGCAAGCGACUAGCAUAUAUGGUGGCUACGAUCGCAAAAGAGAGCGAGAAGAGAAGCAAGGCACGGUCGUGAAGCUAGUAGCGAUCAAGAAGUGAUCCUGCAACUACUUACGUCAAACAUAACUCCAACACCGUGUUCACUUCCCGGACUCCGCCGAGAAGAGACCAUCACGGUAACACACUCGGUUGAUGUAUUUUAAUUAAGGUCAACUUCGGGUUUUCUACAACCGGACAUUAACAAAUUCCCAUCUGCCACAUAACCGCGGGCACGGCUCUCGAAAGUUUAUACCCUGCAGGGGUGUCCCAACUUAGCCCAUGACAAGCUCUCGCGAUCAACGAAGAAAUAGACCUUCUCCCGAGACACUCCGACCAGACUCGGUAUCCCGGUACAUCAAGACAUUUCGACAAUGGUAAAACAAGACCAGCAAAGCCGCCCGAUGUGCCGACAAAUCCCGAUAGGAGCUGCACAUAUCUCGUUCUCAGGGCACACAGGAUGAGCAAGACGACGGGUUGGCAUAGACCCUGGUUGCCCAGGGGGCGCCGGNNNNNNNNNNCGGAAAGAGACCAUCACGGUUACACACACGGUUGAUGUAUUUUAAUUAAGAUCAACUUCGGGUUUUCUACAACCGGACAUUAACAAAUUCCCAUCUGCCACAUAACCGCGGGCACGGCUCUCGAAAGUUUAUACCCUGCAGGGGUGUCCCAACUUAGCCCAUGACAAGCUCUCGCGAUCAACGAAGGAAUAGACCUUCACCCAGGAAGACCCGAUCAGUCUCGGAAUCCCGGUACAUCAAGACAUUUCGACAAUGGUAAAACAAGGCCAGCAAAGCCGCCCGAUGUGCCGACAAAUCCCGAUAGGAGUCGCACGUACCUCGUUCUCAGGGCACACCGGAUAGGUCAGCCUACGAGUAAAACCAGCCCUCGAGUUGCCCCGAGGUGGCCCCGCAGUCUGCCCGUUUCGGACCAACACUCGAAGGAGCACUGGCCCGGGGGGGAGCUAAAAUAAAGAUGACCCUCGGGCUCCGGAAACCCAAGGGAAAAAAGGGCUAGGUGAGGCAAAUGGUAAAACCAAGGUUGGGCCUUGCUGGACAAGUUUUAUUCAAAGCGAACUGUCAGGGGGGUCCCAUAAAUCACCCGACCGCGUAAGGAACGCAAAAUCCGGGAACAUAACACCGGUAUGACGGAAACUAGGGCGGCAAUAGUGGAACAAAACACCAGGCAUAAGGCCGAGUCUUCCACCCUUUACCAAGUAUAUAGAUGCAUUAAUUAAAACAAUAGAUAUUGUGAUAUCCCAAAAUAUCCGUGUUCCGACCAGGAACAAACUUCAUCUUCACCUGCAAGUAGCAACGCUAUAAGAGGGGCUGAGCAAAGCGGUAACAUAGCCAAACAACGGUUUGCUAGGACAUGGAUGGUUAGAGGUUGACAUGGCAAUAUGGGUGGCAUGAUAUAGCAAGUGGUAGGUAUCGCAGCAUAGGCAUAGCAAAAGAGCGAGCAUCUAGCAAGCAAAGAUAGAAGUGAUAUCGAAGGUAUGGUCAUCUUGCCUGCAAGGUUCUCAGAGUUGUCGAAGGCUUGAUCCUCGUAGGCGUUCUCAACAGGUUCCUCGUACAUGUACUCGUCUACCGGCUCUACCCAAAGCAAGAACACAAGCAACGGAACGACAAUCAAACAAGGAACAAUGCACAAGCAAUAUGAUGCAAAACAUGACAUGCUAUGCGAGAAGUGAUAUGCAAUGCAUAUGUGUGCUCCGGGAGGAGAAUGAUGAACCGGGCAUCAACUUGGCAAACCAAGUAUGCCGCUGGAAAGAUGGGAUGAUUUCGGUUGAAAUCGAUAUAAAGAUCACCGGAAUAGGAUGCACGGUUUGCAAAUGGCAAGCAAAACAAUAAUGGCAUAAAUCUGCGUUUAACAGCACGAUGCUACUUAGCAUGCAACAAGAAACUAUGCUACAGCAGCCCAACAUAAAAACAAAGCAUAUGACAAUG
RNAcentral lists this long non-coding RNA (10953 nucleotides) under Triticum aestivum (bread wheat). Its description in RNAcentral is "long non-coding RNA (TAES_LNC023115)". The record is from RNAcentral. Lineage: Eukaryota; Viridiplantae; Streptophyta; Magnoliopsida; Poales; Poaceae.